Long non-coding RNA from Oncorhynchus tshawytscha (Chinook salmon), 1054 nucleotides. The record is from Ensembl. NCBI's taxonomy places the organism in Eukaryota, Metazoa, Chordata, Actinopteri, Salmoniformes, Salmonidae.
CGCUGUAGACUGGUGUCUCCCUGGUAGAGAGGCUGGGGUACUGGAUGAGGAGAUAGGACAGGGGUAGGGUGUGGGAAUAGGGUGUGGGUAGGGUGUGGGAAUAGCGUAUAGGGGUUAGGGAAUAGGGAAUAACGUAUAGGGGUUAGGGUAUAGGGUUUAGGGUAUUGGGGUUAUGAAAUAGGGUUUAGGGUAUAGGGUUUAGGGAAUAGGGUUUAGGGUGGUUAGGGAAUAGGGUAUAGAGUAUAGGGGUUAUGGAAUAGGGUUUAGGGUAUAGGGUUUAGGGAAUAGGGUUUAGGGUAUCGUGGUUAGGGAAUAGGGUAUAGAGUAUAGGGGUUAGGGAAUAGGGUUUAGGGUAUAGGGGUUAUGGAAUAGGGUUUAGGGUAUAGGGUUUAGGGAAUAGGGUUUAGGGUAUCGUGGUUAGGGAAUAGGGUAUAGAGUAUAGGGGUUAGGGAAUAGGGUUUAGGGUAUAGGGGUUAUGGAAUAGGGGUAUAGGGUAUAGGGGUUUAGGGUAAAUGGGUUUAGGGUAUAGGGUUUAGGGUAUAGGGGUUUAGGGUAAAUGGGUUUAGGGUAUAGGGGUUUAGGGUAUAGGGUUUAGGGUAUAGGGUUUAGGGUAUAGGGGUUUAUGGUAUAGGGGUUUAGGGUAUAGGGGUUUAGGGUAAAUGGGUUUAGGAUAUAGGGGUUUAGGGUGUAGAGGUUUAAGGUAUUGGGGUUUAGGGUGUAGGAGUUUAGGAUUUAGGGGUUCGGGAUGUUGGGGUUUAGAAUGUAGGGGUUUAGGGUGUAAGGAUGUAAGGGGUUUAGGGUAUAAGGGUACAGGAUGUAUGGGUUUAGGGUACAGGGGUUUCGGGUGUAGGGUUUUAGGGUGUAGGGGUUUAGGGUGUAGGGACUUAGGGUAUAGGGGUUUACAGGUUUAGGGUAUAGGGGUUUAGGGUACAGGGUAUAGGGGCAUAGGGGUUUAGGAUAUAGGGGUUCAGGAUGUAGGGAUGAGGGUUUAGGGGUUUAGGGUAUAGGAGUUCAGGAUGUAGGGGUUUGGAUGUAGGGGUCAUACGGGUUGAGG